This 393-nucleotide ribosomal RNA is filed under the name uncultured bacterium. RNAcentral's name for it is "partial 16S ribosomal RNA". It matches the Rfam family "Bacterial small subunit ribosomal RNA", at positions 338 to 729 of the family's 1533-position model. The record is from RNAcentral.
CCUACGGGGUGCAGCAGUGAGGAAUAUUGGUCAAUGGCCGCAAGGCUGAACCAGCCAAGUCGCGUGAAGGAUGACUGUCCUAUGGGUUGUAAACUUCUUUUAUAUGGGAAUAAAGUGCUCCACGUGUAGCGAUUUGCAUGUACCUUAUGAAUAAGCAUCGGCUAACUCCGUGCCAGCAGCCGCGGUAAUACGGAGGAUGCGAGCGUUAUCCGGAUUUAUUGGGUUUAAGGGGUGCGUAGGCGGUUUGUUAAGUCAGCGGUGAAAUUUUGGGGUUCAACCUUGACGUGCCGUUGAAACUGGGAGUCUUGAGUGUGUGAGAGGUAGGCGGAAUGCGUGGUGUAGCGGUGAAAUGCAUAGAUAUCACGCAGAACUCCGAUUGCGAAGGCAGCAUAC